AGCGGCGGACGGGUGAGUAACGCGUGGGUAACCUGCCUCAUACAGGGGGAUAACAGUUAGAAAUGGCUGCUAAUACCGCAUAAGACCACAGUACUGCAUGGUACAGUGGUAAAAACUCCGGUGGUAUGAGAUGGACCCGCGUCUGAUUAGGUAGUUGGUGAGGUAACGGCCCACCAAGCCGACGAUCAGUAGCCGACCUGAGAGGGUGACCGGCCACAUUGGGACUGAGACACGGCCCAGACUCCUACGGGAGGCAGCAUG
RNAcentral lists this ribosomal RNA (261 nucleotides) under uncultured bacterium. RNAcentral describes it as "partial 16S ribosomal RNA". It matches the Rfam family "Bacterial small subunit ribosomal RNA", at positions 94 to 353 of the family's 1533-position model. The record is from RNAcentral.